AUGAAACAUCUGAAAACAAACCUGCCAGCUCAGUGAGCAAACUCACAGCCAUAACUGAGUAAAUGCCUUCCUACAUGUGGAGUAGGUGAACACCCUCUCCCCUGUAUGAACCUAAUGAUAUUUUAUCAAGGAUUUGAAGUCAUGAAACUGAAACCAAAUAUCACGUCAUGAUCUGAUGGAGUCACUUUAUUUAUCAAGACCUGAGGAUUAAAGAUUUUAACCAUGGAAGGAGAAAGCACCAUUCACAGUGGGAAGAACAGAUACAUAUCUUCUGACAAAAGGCUUUAGCCAAUCAACUGGCCUCAAGAAGCACAAAUGCAGUCACAGUGGGUUGAAACUAUGGAAAAUCAUGACCUGUGAGAAAGGAUUCAGUCACUACUCUGUGCUGAUAAUUCCCCAACAUGUUCACACUGGGGAGAGGCCGUUGACCUGCUUCCUGUGUGGGAAGGGAUUCACUCAGUUAUUCAUCCUCCUGACAGACCAGCGAUUUCACACUGAUAAAUGUACAAGCUACUGAAAUUGCUUUUAAAAUUUCCAGCCAUCAGCAGUCCCACCAACUUGUUCACACUGACAAGAGACCUUUUCCAUGUCCAGGUUGUGGAAAGUGCUUUAAGAGUUCUGCUGAUCUGAUGUCCCAUCAGUUUGUUUACACUGAGGAAGAAAGGGUCAGAUGUUCUGACUGUGGGGCAUUCACAAGUGCAUUCAUACUAGGGAGAGGCCAUUCACCUGCUCUGAAUGUGGAAUUGGAUUUACUCAGUCAUAUCGCCUCAGUGCACACCCACAGAUUGACAUUGAGAGAAACCUUUUAAAUGUCCAAACUGUAGCAAGUGCUUUAAAGGUUCUGGUGAACUGAUUGUCCAUUAAUGUACUCACACUAAUGAUAGACCAUUCAGCUGCUAUCACAGUGGAACUGGGUUCAAAAUAUCAUCUAAACUCAGUCGGCACCAGCAUCGUCACACUGGCAAGAGGCCAUUCAUCUGCUCUAAAUGUGGGCAGGGAUUCAUUGACCCAUCCCACCUCAAGUUACACCAAAGUGUUCAGUCUGGUUAAAGACCAUUUAAAUGCCUCGAUUGUGGGAAGUGUUUUAAAUGUUCUGGGCACUUGAAACAUAUUCACUCUGAAAAUAGACGUUUUAAAUUCCCAGUUUGUGGGAAGUGCUUUAACAGCUCUGGGAAACUGAUGUCCCACCAACAUAUUCACACCAAUGAGAGACCAUUCAGGUGCUCUCACUGUGCGACUGGGUUCAGAUGAUCAUCUCAUCUUACUUUACACCAGCGAGGUCACACUGGGAAGAGAUCAUUUGCCUGCUCCAUGUGUGAGAAGAAAUUUGCGCAAUCAUCCAAUCUGGUGAGACACCAGCAAUGUCACAAGUCACUCCAGUGAUGGGAUUUUCAGUUAAUCAAAUUGGAACUCAUCCACGUUCAUUGGAGUCUGUUUCUGUUGAUGCUAAUAAACUCCAGUCCAGUGAAAGGUGCUUACAUUCUAAGUGUCAAAUAAAGCAGAUGUCUAUCAGUUACACAGUAUGGUCAGUCAUUUUAAUAUCGAACAGAAAUUUUUGAUGGAUGCUCCCUCCCUCCUGCCCCCUCAAUCCUCACCUCCAACAGCAAGUUUCAGGAGCACAAGAGUUUCUUUGUUAAUAAGGCUUGAGAAAAUCUGAUCAGCUUGCUCUCGUUUCUCUCCUUUCCAAUUGGUCACUGAGACAAACUCUAAUCUCAUGUCAUGCCCUGUCAGACCUCACCUUGUCCAAGUGCCUCACUUACUGCUCCAUUGGCCCUAUUUCCAUGAAAUGUCUGACUACUGACCUUCUCUCUAUUUGCUGCAUUGUUAACCAUUCUCCUACAGACACUGUCCCUUUUGCUAUAAAUCUGCCAUAUUUGCAUUCCAACCCCAACAUCCCAGCAAGUUACUGUCUUAAUUUGAACUUGCCUUUCCCGUCCAAAAUCCUGGAAUGACUUGUUUCCUCAUAAAUCCAUGCCAUCUAUCCACCCAUGCAAUGCUUGAAUCAGAUUUCUGUCCCUGUUACAUUCAUGAAAAUCAGUGUCUGUGGUCAAGUUCACUAUUUGGUGGAGCAAGUGCACUUGUGUAGAAAAUUGGCAUAUUGCUUCGGGAUUGAUGUACAAAUAACAAUACCUUUGACAUUAAAUGAGAAUCAAGUCAGUCGGAAUGAUUGUUGAUUCCCCAUAAUAUCCAUAAUUAGAACAUCUAUUCAGGAGCAUAUGCAGCAGCAUUCUGCCAACAGUAGGAGCUUCCACCGUGUAUUAAAAAUGCUGCCAUACAUGUGGUGUUGGAAUAGAGUAGGCCAUUUGGCCCAUGGUAUCUGCACAACCAUUUAAUGAGAUCAUGGCAGAUCUGAUUCUCCUCAAUUCCACUCUCAUGCCAUUUCCUCGCAACUCUUGAGUUCUUUACUGAUUAAAAAAAAACUGCCUCAACCUGGUGAAAAUAGGCCAUGUAGAGAAUAAACUGGGAAAAUAAUAAUGGGGAAUGAGAAAAUGGCAAAAGAGUCGAAUAAACACUUUACUCCAGUCUUCAAAGUAGAAGCCACUCAUAAAAUGCAAAAAUUACUGAAUAAUCAAAGGGCAAAAGGAAGAUAGGAAAUACAUGAAAUAACUAUCAUGACAAAUAGUAUAUUAGGAAAACUCAUAGAGCUAAAGCCUAUUAGUCCCUUGGAACUGGUGGGCUGCAUCCGAGGGUAUUGAAGGAACCAGCUACAGAGAUCUUGUAGUUGCGCUGGUAGUCAUCUUACAAGAAUCUUUAGAUUUUGAAGAAGUCUCAAAGGAUUAGAAAACUGUCAGUAUGUUGCCUUGAUUUGAAAAGGGUAUGAGACAAAAACUGGUAACUACAGACCAGCUAAUUUAAUAUUUGUUAUUGGAAAAAUCUUGGAAUCUAUUAUAAAGGAUGAAAGUGAAGCAAUUGUAAGUACAUUACCAGCGAGAAUUCUAUGACUUUAUGAUUUCAGGAAAAUUAUUGAUGAAGCUGCUGAAUAUGGUUAGGCAGAGAAUUCCAACCUGAGACAUUCAUGCAAUGAUGUCGUGGGACUGAGAUAAUUUACAUCCAACAACCACACGUUUCUGCUAGGUCAGGGCUGGUCUGCCUGAGUUUGUAAUUCCACAUUCCUGUUUCUCUUCCCAUGAAUUCAAAGCAACCCACCAUUCUUAUGGACAACAAGCAGCUGAUGUGAGCAACGUUCUAGUUUGGCAGGAAAAAUGAGCUCCCCAUCUGAACUGAAAGCUCAUUGCCAGAGCAUGACUCACACAAGUUGAAGGUGAACCCAGAGGCGACAAGGGAAAGAGAAAGUUCUACAAAGGAGAGACAUUCACAACAUCCUCACUCCUGGCAAGAUGACCGCACAUGCGCCCUGAUGCCCCUUUCUCCCUACAAAGAUGGCGGUCGUUACAGGGGGCUUUCGCCGAGAGACGCGACCUCGCUGCCUCCGGCCCGUUCGUUGUCAAUGCUGAACCAGAGUGCUUUAUUUGGGGUAUUAUGUUUCCACUGUACAUUUAUGAAGCCUUCCCGUCCACAUGGCCUCCGCCAAGACCCUCGUAAAUCUGUUUUUUUUCUCACCGGUUACGGAGCCAAUACCGUCACGUUCCUGCAGAGUGAGCCCUCACACGUCGCAUGCGUCAACCCGGCUAUGUUUUUCGCAUGAUCCAAUCACCGUGGCCACUGCGCUUGCUCGAACCUCUCCAGCCGGAGGACAAGGGGCACACUGUCCCGUCUGGUGACAACAUGAGGACGUUGGAAAUAGGAACAAGAAGAGUACAUUCAGCCCCUCUGAUAUGAACCACCAUUCAACAACAUCAGAGAUAAUCUGCAGCAGGCCUCAAUUCCUAUUUUCUCCCAGAUCCUUAUAUUACUAAAGUUGGAUUUUUUUUGAAGGAAAACAGUCUAUUUACUGCCUUUGGAAUACUUUCAGUGAUCUCGCCUCCACAACUAUUUGGUGCAGAUAAUUCCGGAUAUUCUCUACUCUCAGUGAGCAAAUUCUUCACAUCCAACUCAGUGCCACUGUAUUUUGUAAACAUAUUCCUAGUUCAAGAUUUGCCCACUUGUGUAAAGAUCUUAACAUCAAUCCUGUCAAGCCCCGCCAGAACCUUGUACUGUUUAAAAUAAGAUCACCCCUCAUUCUUCUAAAAUCUAAUAAACUAUGGUCAUCGUUCUUAACCUUCAUCGUAGGAAUCAAUCCCUUUGAAUAGCCUCCAAUAGCUUGAUGUCUUUUUUUGAAUUAACGGUCCAAAAUUGUACAAAUUGUAUGUGUGGACUCACUGGAACGCUCUGUUUGUAGCAAGACUUCCUUUUCUAAAUCUUCAAACCGUAGUAAUAAAGGGAAAAAAAUGUU
Molecule: non-coding RNA, 4333 nt
Organism: Chiloscyllium plagiosum (whitespotted bambooshark)
Lineage: Eukaryota; Metazoa; Chordata; Chondrichthyes; Orectolobiformes; Hemiscylliidae
Source: RefSeq, a predicted model, not a curated record